This 253-nucleotide ribosomal RNA is filed under the name uncultured bacterium. Its description in RNAcentral is "partial 16S ribosomal RNA". It matches the Rfam family "Bacterial small subunit ribosomal RNA", at positions 524 to 776 of the family's 1533-position model. The record is from RNAcentral.
GACGAGGGGUCCUAGCGUUGUUCGGAAUCAUUGGGCGUAAAGCGUGUGUAGGUGGCUAUUCAAGUCAGUUGUGAAAUCCCCGGGCUUAACCCGGGAAGUGCUUCUGAUACUGUUUAGCUUGAGUACUAGAGAGGAUAGUAGAAUUCCAGGUGUAGUGGUGAAAUACGUAGAUAUCUGGAGGAAUACCGGUGGCGAAGGCGGCUAUCUGGCUAAGUACUGACACUGAAACACGAAAGCGUGGGGAGCAAACAGG